This is a long non-coding RNA of Rhipicephalus sanguineus (brown dog tick), 1818 nucleotides long. RefSeq lists it as uncharacterized. The record is from RefSeq and is a predicted model, not a curated record. Lineage: Eukaryota; Metazoa; Arthropoda; Arachnida; Ixodida; Ixodidae. The transcript is spliced from 5 exons.
ACAGAAUGACCGCUGGGCGGUGUAUAUAAGUAGUGGGCCCGGGUGUCUCCGAACUGAGACUGCAUAGAGUUAAAUUACGCGAUGAUGGGCGAAGCGUUCACGGUAGUCUUGGUCGUCGCGCUUUGCAGCACGAACGUUAUUCAGGCCAAGCUCGGAGCACCGGGAUGUCCAAUGAAGUUGAAGAAGUCCGAUCUACCGGAAAGCUUCAAGAUAAUCUCAAGCUGGGAGUCCGCACUGGCCAUAGCGGUCUCGGGCACAGACCCCAUGUACGACUGUAUGACGGCGAACCGCACCACCAUUGACUACGAGGCACAGACAGCAACAUUCGUGUGGGCCCUCCAAGCGACAGGCCAUUCGGCAAGGCAAGAAGUCACGUUCUGGUCAGACCGGGACCUAAGCCUCACACCAUGGAGAUGACUGUGGGCGACGACCCCAAAGUCUUGGAGGGCGUGUUCUAUUACAUGGAUGACACUUGCCUUGUGAUGGACCUCGAGUACCACGAUCACCUGUGUCUUCUCUGGGUUCGGAAAGAAGCUAAGGACCACGUUCCCCAGGUGUGCUUCGCACAAUUUGCCGAUGCCUGCGGGAAGCCCGCCCGCCAUCACGGGAAGCAACUCUGCCCCGGCGUCUAGAUCCCCAACUGGAUCGACAGCAAAAUCGACGGCGAUCCCUCAUAGCUGUAGAUGCGCGACACUUGUAUCGACUGUUAGUCAGUUUGAUUCACCGACAAAUGUGCACCCUUCUAAUUUUUCAAUAAUACCGUGUAAGCGUUUAUCCCCGACACGGAGUUUCUAAUAUCGGCGAGAAGUAAGAUCAGCGACACGACGAUCAGUUUUUCAUCGGUCUUGUAGAUAUAUGAGCACACAGAUAACGAUGAGAGGGUGCAUGCAUCCUUAAGCAGACAGCGUAGCAGAUGGCGCUCGCCCAUGAGUAUGCUUUCCGCGCUUGCGCGCCUUACAGCAUAUCUCGCUGCUUCUCGCCUAUAUAGGGCCCUACCAUGUCCCGUGGUCAAUGCUCGCGAGAUAUUAUUAAACAAUUGCAAGGGUGUGCAGUUAGUCAAUAGGUCUGUAGAUCGACAGUGACAUCGAAACUUACAGUACCAGCCAUCUCGACAGCUGAGUUAACAGCUAAAUGAACAACAGAGAGCUGAGUAUUGACCAAUAUGUAGACGACAAAUGAUUUACAUAAGGAUAUGCAGUUAAUCGGCAGCCAGAUCGACAUCUAGGUUCACAAAUAGAUCGCCAACUGUAGUUCGACACAUUGAUAUCUAUGAAUAUCUCGACCUAUACGGGAACGACCAUGUCUUUUGUCAAGCCGAUUUUGUCAAAUUACCGUCCCUCAUAUGCGCUAGAGAACUGCUAGAUAUCUUUAAAAAUUUGCUGAACCUAUCAUCAUCCUUGAUUCAUGCAAAUGUUAAACUUUCGCGCAAGGAACCACAAAUAUCAUUUGUAGCCCAGAUAUCCUCUGAAUUACAAAUAGGCAACAUAACAAAUAAGCUAGCUUGACAGUUAUAUUUACAGACAGAGUAUAUAGACCGCUCAACGGACAACUAUAUCAACAGUUGUAUCAAUGAACAUAAACCACUUGAAAUACUAGAUCCACUGCUAGAUGGACAGCAAGGAUAGGGCAAGGCCGAGUAACAGAUCGACGGAUAUUAUCGACAAUUGGUUUACAGCUUGACUGACAGGCAAGAAGUGUCGAUGAAAAAGGCUACGAACAUGUAUUGUAUACCAGUACGCAGCCGGAGAAAAGCUUAUUCUUCCAAUACUGAAGAGAGAUUGCAUGUAAACUGUCAUUUUGUGGUAUUGAAUAAAAGAA